AUGAUGAUGUCUACCGUCCUACAAUGCCAUUUGAUUGCCCCAAUAUGCAAAUUGAUUAAUCAAGAAUCAUGCCCCUAUCAGCCAUUAUGCAACAAGAACGGGAGCUAAUCUUGUGGAGAUGGUGGUCAUUGCUCCAAGACUAUUAGGAUUUCAAUUCAAUGUCAUGUUAGGAUUUCAAUUCGGUACUAGAUUAGGAUUUGAAUUCGGCAUUUAUUUCAAAUUAUGUAGACCUUAUAAAUAACAAAACUAUUUAUGUACUUCUGGUAAAAUUUAAAUGUUAGUGGAUUUGAUUUUAAAUAUGAAUAUUUCAUUGAGGUUCUUCUUUGCAGUGGUGUUAUAAUGGUUGU
This 347-nucleotide long non-coding RNA is filed under the name Rosa chinensis. RNAcentral describes it as "sRNA RchiOBHm_Chr3g0470671". The record is from RNAcentral. Lineage: Eukaryota; Viridiplantae; Streptophyta; Magnoliopsida; Rosales; Rosaceae.